CAGCAUGAGUUGCGUCCUGCUGUAAAUAUGGACAAACAAUAAAGUUGAUGAUAUUUACGUGAGCACUAUCUGAGUCGUAAGAUGCUCAUAAAGUACCAUCACACAUAC
Molecule: small nucleolar RNA, 108 nt
Filed under: Dichanthelium oligosanthes
Lineage: Eukaryota; Viridiplantae; Streptophyta; Magnoliopsida; Poales; Poaceae
Source: RNAcentral